UACAGAGGGGGCAAGCGUUAUUCGGAAUUAUUGGGCGUAAAGGGCGCGUAGGCGUCCUGGCAAGUGGAAGGUGAAAUCCCUCGGCUUAACCGAGGAACUGCCCUCCAAACUGCUUGGCUUGAGACCGGGAGAGGUGAGUGGAAUUCCCAGAGUAGCGGUGAAAUGCGUAGAUAUUGGGAGGAACACCAGUGGCGAAGGCGGCUCACUGGACCGGUACUGACGCUGAGGCGCGAAAGCGUGGGGAGCAAACGGG
This 253-nucleotide ribosomal RNA is filed under the name uncultured bacterium. Its description in RNAcentral is "partial 16S ribosomal RNA". It matches the Rfam family "Bacterial small subunit ribosomal RNA", at positions 524 to 776 of the family's 1533-position model. The record is from RNAcentral.